GACGAACGCUGGCGGCGUGCUUAACACAUGCAAGUCGAACGGAAAGGCCCUGCUUUUGUGGGGUGCUCGAGUGGCGAACGGGUGAGUAACACGUGAGUAACCUGCCCUUGACUUUGGGAUAACUUCAGGAAACUGGGGCUAAUACCGGAUAGGAGCUCCUGCUGCAUGGUGGGGGUUGGAAAGUUUCGGCGGUUGGGGAUGGACUCGCGGCUUAUCAGCUUGUUGGUGGGGUAGUGGCUUACCAAGGCUUUGACGGGUAGCCGGCCUGAGAGGGUGACCGGACACAGUGGGACUGAGAUACGGCGCAGAAUGCUACGGGAGGCAGAAGUGGGGGAUAGUGAGCAAUGGGCGGACGCCUGAUGCAGCAACGGCGCGUGCGGGAUGCCGGCCUUCGGGGUGUAAACCGCUUUCGCCGGUGACGAAGCGUGAGUGAGGGUAAUGGGUAAAGAAGCACCGGCUAGCUACGUG
RNAcentral lists this ribosomal RNA (468 nucleotides) under uncultured bacterium. RNAcentral describes it as "partial 16S ribosomal RNA". It matches the Rfam family "Bacterial small subunit ribosomal RNA", at positions 28 to 507 of the family's 1533-position model. The record is from RNAcentral.